Molecule: non-coding RNA, 76 nt
Filed under: Trypanosoma cruzi strain CL Brener
Lineage: Eukaryota; Euglenozoa; Kinetoplastea; Trypanosomatida; Trypanosomatidae
Source: RNAcentral
CCCUGGCGCAGCCGGCCACCUCGACGUGGCGCCAGGGUCUAGCACUCUUUGCCAGGGAGGAAGCCAAGUGGCUGCU